This is a long non-coding RNA of Sinocyclocheilus rhinocerous, 253 nucleotides long. RefSeq lists it as uncharacterized. The transcript has 3 exons. The record is from RefSeq and is a predicted model, not a curated record. Lineage: Eukaryota; Metazoa; Chordata; Actinopteri; Cypriniformes; Cyprinidae.
CAGAGGAAGACCACGAGGGUUUAGGGUGCCAUUUGAAACAGGGCCUUUGUCUGAGGCUUUGGAUUACAGUGACGGUGCCCGUUGACUUGCAUAUUAUGAAUCACCAAGUGCCAUUGUUCAGCUCUUCUGUACCAUUCUACUGAAUAAAGAAAGUCACCUACAUCUUGGAUGGCCCAGGGAAUGAGGUUCCACCCUGUGAUGAAGGCCCAGAGCUCCCCCACGGUCACAUAGCUGUACAGAUAGGCUGAGCCCG